UCCGGCUUAACGCCGGCAGUCCCCCUAGAGUGCCCAACUGAAUGGUGGCAACUAAGGACGAGGGUUGCGCUCGUUGCGGGACUUAACCCAACACCUCACGGCACGAGCUGACGACAGCCAUGCACCACCUGUGAAGGUGCCCCGAAGGGAGACCGUGUUUCCACGGCUGUCACCUACAUGUCAAGCCCAGGUAAGGUUCUUCGCGUUGCAUCGAAUUAAUCCACAUGCUCCGCCGCUUGUGCGGACCCCCGCCAAUUCCUUUGAGUUUUAGCCUUGCGGCCGUACUCCCCAGGCGGGGUGCUUAAUGCGUUUGCGACGGCACGGAGGGGGUUGAUGCCCCCCACACCUAGCACCCAACGUUUACGGCUGGGACUAC
This 376-nucleotide unclassified non-coding RNA is filed under the name uncultured Actinomycetes bacterium. RNAcentral's name for it is "uncultured actinobacterium contains 16S-23S intergenic spacer region". Lineage: Bacteria; Bacillati; Actinomycetota; Actinomycetes. The record is from RNAcentral.